GACGAACGCUGGCGGCGUGCUUAACACAUGCAAGUCGAACGGAAAGGCCCUGCUUUUGUGGGGUGCUCGAGUGGCGAACGGGUGAGUAACACGUGAGUACCCGGCCCUGGACUUUGGGUAACCUCAAGGAACCUGGGUCCAAAACCGGUUCGAUGCUCCUGUGCCAGGGUGGGGUUGGGAAGGUUAGGCGGUUGGGGAUAGGCUCGCGGUUUAUCAGCCUUGUGGUGGGGGAGUUGCUUUCCAAAGGUUUGUAGGGUAGCCGGCCUGAGGAGGGGACCCGACACAUUGGGACUGAGAUACGGCCCAGACUCCUACGGGGGGCAGCAGUGGGGAAUAUUGCACAAUGAGCGGAAGCCUGAUGCAGCAGCGCCGCGUGCGGGAUGACGGCCUGCGGGUUGUGAACCGCUUUCGCCUGUGACGAAGCGUGAGUGACGGUAAUGGAUGAAGAAGCACCGGCUAACUACGUG
Molecule: ribosomal RNA, 467 nt
Filed under: uncultured bacterium
Lineage: Bacteria
Description: partial 16S ribosomal RNA
Rfam family: Bacterial small subunit ribosomal RNA
Source: RNAcentral